UAGGGAAUCUUCGGCAAUGGACGAAAGUCUGACCGAGCAACGCCGCGUGAGUGAAGAAGGUUUUCGGAUCGUAAAACUCUGUUGUUAGAGAAGAACAAGGACGUUAGUAACUGAACGUCCCCUGACGGUAUCUAACCAGAAAGCCACGGCUAACUACGUGCCAGCAGCCGCGGUAAUACGUAGGUGGCAAGCGUUGUCCGGAUUUAUUGGGCGUAAAGCGAGCGCAGGCGGUUUCUUAAGUCUGAUGUGAAAGCCCGCGGCUCAACCGGGGAGGGUCAUUGGAAACUGGGAGACUUGAGUGCAGAAGAGGAUAGUGGAAUUCCAUGUGUAGCGGUGAAAUGCGUAGAUAUAUGGAGGAACACCAGUGGCGAAGGCGGCUCUCUGGUCUGUAACUGACGCUGAGGCUCGAAAGCGUGGGGAGCAAACAGG
This 429-nucleotide ribosomal RNA is filed under the name Gemmatimonadota bacterium. RNAcentral's name for it is "Gemmatimonadetes bacterium partial 16S ribosomal RNA". It matches the Rfam family "Bacterial small subunit ribosomal RNA", at positions 355 to 776 of the family's 1533-position model. Lineage: Bacteria; Pseudomonadati; Gemmatimonadota. The record is from RNAcentral.